RNAcentral lists this ribosomal RNA (253 nucleotides) under uncultured bacterium. Its description in RNAcentral is "partial 16S ribosomal RNA". It matches the Rfam family "Bacterial small subunit ribosomal RNA", at positions 524 to 776 of the family's 1533-position model. The record is from RNAcentral.
UACGUAGGGGGCAAGCGUUGUUCGGAAUUACUGGGCGUAAAGGGCGCGUAGGCGGCACGGCAAGUCAGGAGUGAAAGCCCGGGGCUCAACCCCGGAACUGCUUUUGAAACUGCCGAGCUAGAGUGCGGAAGGGGCAACCGGAAUUCCCAGUGUAGCGGUGAAAUGCGUAGAUAUUGGGAAGAACACCUGAGGCGAAGGCGGGUUGCUGGGCCGACACUGACGCUGAGGCGCGAAAGCCAGGGGAGCGAACGGG